CAAUAGCGUAUAUUAAAGUUGUUGCAGUUAAAAAGCUCGUAGUUGGAUUUGUGGCGUACGGUGUGUUCCGGGCACUUGUUGUCUGAGUAACCUGCUGUUGCCAUCCCUGGGUGGAACCUGUGUGGCAUUAGGUUGUCGUGCAGGGGAUGCCCAUCAUUUACUGUGAAAAAAUUAGAGUGUUCAAAGCAGGCUUAUGCCGUUGAAUAUAUUAGCAUGGAAUAAUGAGAUAGGACUUUUUUGCUAUUUUGUUGGUUUGCGCAAGAAGGUAAUGAUUAAUAGGGACAGUUGGGGGUAUUCGUAUUCCAUUGUCAGAGGUGAAAUUCUUGGAUUUUUGGAAGACGGACUACUGCGAAAGCAUUUACCAAGGAUGUUUUCAUUAA
Molecule: ribosomal RNA, 380 nt
Filed under: uncultured eukaryote
Lineage: Eukaryota
Description: partial 18S ribosomal RNA
Rfam family: Eukaryotic small subunit ribosomal RNA
Source: RNAcentral